CAACAUAGUCGAUAGAAUUAUAAUGAUUCCCUUGGGGCUAACAGUAUGAAUUAAUUUUAAAAUGGAAAUUUGAAAAAAAAAAUAAAAUGGAAAUUUGAAACAUUUAGAACUGGAAAGAUGGUUAUUAGUGAACUAGUCCAAACUCUGCAUUUUGAAAAAAAAAAUAUUUUAAAGAAUGGACACAAAAAAGAAUUAUCCUACUAUGUUAAGAAUAUUGCCAGACUCAAAUAAGAAUGUGAAUAAAAGCUCCACAAAACAGGCCAGAUGGAGCAAUCCUAGAACAGAGAAAGAACCCUGAACCUGAAGUCAGACAACCUGAGUUUCCUUCUAGCUUCUGCAUCUUAUGAUUCUAUUUGGCAGAAGUUCCCAGCUGACUAUCACUGCAGAGGUUUCCAAACACUAGAAAAUAUGAUUAUUUCAACACACAAAGCAGUGGUCUAAUGCCCUCUGGGCAUCUUGGUUGUCCACCUCAGGAUAGUAAAGAAAAUACUGGGUCUGCUUCUUGGAAAGCUGAAAUUCAAACAAUACGUAUAUUAGUCAAGGUUCCCCAGAGGAUUUAUUAUGGAAAUCGGC
Molecule: long non-coding RNA, 573 nt
Filed under: Vulpes vulpes (red fox)
Lineage: Eukaryota; Metazoa; Chordata; Mammalia; Carnivora; Canidae
Description: lncRNA (ENSVVUG00000006792.1)
Source: RNAcentral